This 854-nucleotide ribosomal RNA is filed under the name uncultured bacterium. RNAcentral describes it as "bacterial SSU rRNA". It matches the Rfam family "Bacterial small subunit ribosomal RNA", at positions 524 to 1381 of the family's 1533-position model. The record is from RNAcentral.
UACGGAGGAUCCGAGCGUUAUCCGGAUUUAUUGGGUUUAAAGGGUGCGUAGGCGGGUUGAUAAGUCAGUGGUGAAAGGUUUGCGCUCAACGUAGACAUUGCCAUUGAAACUGUCAGUCUUGAGUACAAAUGAGGUAGGCGGAAUGUGUUGUGUAGCGGUGAAAUGCAUAGAUAUGACACAGAACACCAAUUGCGAAGGCAGCUUACUGGGAUGUAACUGACGCUGAGGCACGAAAGCGUGGGGAUCAAACAGGAUUAGAUACCCUGGUAGUCCACGCAGUAAACGAUGAUUACUAGCUGUUAGCGAUAGAAUGUUAGUGGCUAAGCGAAAGCGAUAAGUAAUCCACCUGGGGAGUACGACCGCAAGGUUGAAACUCAAAGGAAUUGACGGGGGCCCGCACAAGCGGAGGAACAUGUGGUUUAAUUCGAUGAUACGCGAGGAACCUUACCCGGGCUUGAAAUGCAGAGGAAUGACGAGGAAACUUGUCCGCCAGCAAUGGUCUCUGUGUAGGUGCUGCAUGGUUGUCGUCAGCUCGUGCCGUGAGGUGUCGGCUUAAGUGCCAUAACGAGCGCAACCCUUAUUGAUAGUUACUAACAGGUUAAGCUGAGGACUCUAUUGAGACUGCCACCGUAAGGUGAGAGGAAGGUGGGGAUGACGUCAAAUCAGCACGGCCCUUACGUCCGGGGCGACACACGUGUUACAAUGGGGGGUACAGAGGGGAGCUACUUAGCGAUAAGAUGCGAAUCUCGAAAGCCUCUCGUAGUUCGGAUCGGAGUCUGCAACUCGACUCCGUGAAGCUGGAUUCGCUAGUAAUCGCGCAUCAGCCAUGGCGCGGUGAAUACGUUCCCGGGCCU